UACGUAGGGGGCAAGCGUUGUCCGGAAUCAUUGGGCGUAAAGAGCGUGUAGGCGGCCCGAUAAGUCCGCUGUGAAAGUCCAGGGCUCAACCCUGGGAUGCCGGUGGAUACUGUCGGGCUCGAGUCCGGAAGAGGAGUGUGGAAUUCCUGGUGUAGCGGUGAAAUGCGCAGAUAUCGGGAGGAACACCAGUGGCGAAGGCGGCACUCUGGGCCGGUACUGACGCUGAGGAGCGAAAGCGUGGGGAGCGAACAGG
Molecule: ribosomal RNA, 253 nt
Filed under: uncultured bacterium
Lineage: Bacteria
Description: partial 16S ribosomal RNA
Rfam family: Bacterial small subunit ribosomal RNA
Source: RNAcentral